Molecule: long non-coding RNA, 730 nt
Organism: Agrilus planipennis (emerald ash borer)
Lineage: Eukaryota; Metazoa; Arthropoda; Insecta; Coleoptera; Buprestidae
Exons: 3
Source: RefSeq, a predicted model, not a curated record
UUGUUCAUUUGGUCGAAUUUUAUAAUACCCAAAAAUGCAUAUAUGUAUAUAUAUCUUUAAGAGUAGUGAUCAGGCGAUGGAACUUGCACGAAGCAAAAACGCAGAUAAAUUGAAUUCUGUAAAACUGGGAUGAAACUAAGCACGCGAUUGGUUACAGCGUCGCAGACAUCGAAAUUAACGUAUCUGAUUGGUGUUUGCUACGUCAUCAGUGCUUCAUGUGGUAGCAAUCGCAAUUUCAGGACAAGCCUGAGAGGCGUUUGGCACAUCAUAAGUUCAUAAAGUUUCGAGGUGGAAGGACGUAUUUUCGUGUCUCUUAAAUUCAACUUAUCGAGCAAAUUUUUUGGCAGAAUUAGUUUUAAUUAGUUCUACGUCUGAAAGGUUAUAUCUUGAAGCAGACACAGGUGGCCGCGUCGCCAUUUUUAAUAAUAAUAAUAAUAAAUGAGAGAGAAUUAAUGUUCAGUAUGGUUAUACUGAAACAGUCCAUGUCUACAUGGGUGUGGUCUUUCCUGGAUUAUAUUCUUGAUUUGCUGUUUCGUCUUCGCCUUGUAACAUCAUGCAGUUAAUUUUCGACCCAUGAGCGAGUGCAACUGGAUAUUUAUUUGAAUUCCACUGAAAUAAGAAAUUCUCUGCUACAGUAUUCCUCCUUGAGUUGGUUUACUUUUCACACCUGUAAACUUUGGAGUGUUACGUUCUAUAAUUAAUUAAGAUCGACGUUGGAGAAGACAAAGAU